AACAAACGCUGGCGGCGUGUCUUAAGCAUGCAAGUUGAGCGGCAAGGAGGAGAGAUCCUCCCUAGAGCAGCGGACUGGUGAGUAACGCGUGGGUAAUCUAUCUUAGGCAUGGGGAUAGUCACUAGAAAUAGUGGGUAAUACCGAAUAAGUUCCAUAAGGGGAGGACUUAUGGAAGAAAGGUGCUACGGCACUGGCCUUAGGUGAGCUCGCGUCCCAUUAGCUAGUUGGUGAGGUAAAGGCCCACCAAGGCGAUGAUGGGUAGCCGGCCUGAGAGGGUGUACGGCCACACUGGGACUGAGAUACGGCCCAGACUCCUACGGGAGGCAGCAGCUAAGAAUAUUCCGCAAUGGACGGAAGUCUGACGGAGCGACGCCGCGUGGAUGAAGAAGGCCGAAAGGUUGUAAAGUUCUUUUGCUAGGGGAGAAUAAGUGUGGGAGGGAAUGCCUGCACGAUGACAAGGACUAGGCGAAUAAGUCCUGGCCCAACUACGUGCCAGCACGG
RNAcentral lists this ribosomal RNA (501 nucleotides) under uncultured bacterium. RNAcentral's name for it is "bacterial SSU rRNA". It matches the Rfam family "Bacterial small subunit ribosomal RNA", at positions 29 to 516 of the family's 1533-position model. The record is from RNAcentral.